UACGGCGGGUGCAAGCGUUGUCCGGAUUUAUUGGGUUUAAAGGGUGCGUAGGCGGUCUUUUAAGUCAGUGGUGAAAGCCUCCAGCUCAACUGGAGAAAUGCCAUUGAUACUGGAAGACUUGAGUAUAGUUGAGGUAGGCGGAAUUGACAGUGUAGCGGUGAAAUGCAUAGAUAUUGUCAAGAACACCGAGUGCGAAGGCAGCUUACUAAACUAUAACUGACGCUGAGGCACGAAAGUGCGGGGAUCAAACAGG
RNAcentral lists this ribosomal RNA (253 nucleotides) under uncultured bacterium. RNAcentral's name for it is "partial 16S ribosomal RNA". It matches the Rfam family "Bacterial small subunit ribosomal RNA", at positions 524 to 776 of the family's 1533-position model. The record is from RNAcentral.